GGUUAUGAGGGAAAACAGGCUGUGACAUCUGUCAACACAUUGAUUUCCAGGGUUGAUACAGAUGGUCUGCGCUGAUCCCUGUUCUCCCUCAAACCCCAUUUGCGUCCCUUCCAAAACUACCUGCUCAUCCACGUAAAUGACCUUCUCAAGGAGGACCAGUCAAAAAAAAAAAAAAAUGAGGACCAGUCAUGAAGGGUAUUUAAAAGGUAUAUUUCCUUGCUAU
Molecule: small RNA, 223 nt
Filed under: Tursiops truncatus (common bottlenose dolphin)
Lineage: Eukaryota; Metazoa; Chordata; Mammalia; Artiodactyla; Delphinidae
Description: 7SK RNA (ENSTTRG00000024444.1)
Rfam family: 7SK RNA (bases 1-167)
About the family: 7SK was discovered as an abundant small nuclear RNA in the mid-70s but a possible function has only recently been suggested.
Source: RNAcentral